RNAcentral lists this transfer RNA (74 nucleotides) under Kitasatospora sp. Root107. RNAcentral's name for it is "tRNA-Arg". It matches the Rfam family "tRNA". Rfam says of the family: Transfer RNA (tRNA) molecules are approximately 80 nucleotides in length. Their secondary structure includes four short double-helical elements and three loops (D, anti-codon, and T loops). Further hydrogen bonds mediate the characteristic L-shaped molecular structure. tRNAs have two regions of fundamental functional importance: the anti-codon, which is responsible for specific mRNA codon recognition, and the 3' end, to which the tRNAs corresponding amino acid is attached (by aminoacyl-tRNA synthetases). tRNAs cope with the degeneracy of the genetic code in two manners: having more than one tRNA (with a specific anti-codon) for a particular amino acid; and 'wobble' base-pairing, i.e. permitting non-standard base-pairing at the 3rd anti-codon position. RNAcentral also lists the same sequence under 1 other name. The record is from RNAcentral. Lineage: Bacteria; Bacillati; Actinomycetota; Actinomycetes; Kitasatosporales; Streptomycetaceae.
CCACCCGUAGCUCAGUUGGCCAGAGCACCGCCCCUCUAAGGCGGAGGUCGCCGGUUCAAGUCCGGUCGGGUGGA